UUUAUCUAAAUAAAUAACUGCUAUGGCUGUUUUUACUUCGUAGCAUCAAGUCAACAUUGAACCCAUGUGGGUUAGACGGCAUGCAGAGCUGGAAAAUCAAAACCGCAUUCUGAUUGGCUAGAUUUAAUGUCUGUCAUGGCACAACCCCGCCUCCUAAGAAUUUCUUGGAUUUCCAUUGGUUAACGCGCGGCAGUGGGUGUACAGGAAACUGUACUGGAGGGAAAUACUUCCCUCAGGGAAUACGAUUCAGAAACUUUGUUCCGCACGUACUUUUAAAAUAAACACAAUUCAAAAAACGCCCGUCAAAUAGCUACAAAAACUUUAUUCUUUAACACACAUUUAAAAGAUCAGCAUUUUAAAUAUAUUCAACCGGAAAUUAAUGCGGUCGCUCCCCGCGAAUUCCUAAAACCCCCAUCAGGACCGUUGUACUGUAAUACUGCGGUAGUACUACUACUUCCUUUACUACGCAGUAUUUUGUGUACUGCACUGCCUUUUGUCCUGCAUUUGUCCUUAGUGGAGACGUUUACGGGGGUUUUUUGGGGGAAAGAAAACGGAUCGUUCAGAUUUUUCCCAUCAGAGUCAUGCCGCCUAAAAGAAACUCCACAUCAAGUCCCACACACCCACAGGUGAAGAUGAUAAAGAUCGGAAGUGUUUCGGAUGCGCACGAGUUUCACAACUUCUCAAUGGAGGAAAACUACCUGGAGGAAGAGCCCUCCAGCCACAUGCACCUCCUCAAGAAUGAGCCUGAAAGUAUUGACUUUGAUGAAGAAAAUCCUGGCAGUCCAGGCAUCAGAACAGACACCAUCAGCCUGUUGAUGAAAAUUGAGCAACUCCAGGCUCAGCUGAAGUAUGAGCGCAGAUGCAGACUGUUGGCAGAGAAGGAGCUGAGGGAACUCAGAGAGAUGAACAGCCUCAUGAUUCAGAUGAGGCACACCGCGCACGAGCUGAGGGUUACUCUGGAUCAGGUUCUUCAAGGAGGCGAGGCAGUAGUCGCCCCACAAACAGCUGAUGAAUCCAUCACGUUUAUAACUGAACCUGAGGGGCAGAUGAGAGCGGCUCCCAAUGUUUCAGAUGAAGACCAUAAGUUUGUGUAUCUCUCAGAGACUCUUCGAGUGCCGAAAAAUCUCUAUGAGCGCGUUGCAGAAAUAGCAGACUACAAGAAGUACGUUUCAGCAAUGCUGAUGAUACUUUUUGACCGCGCCACUCUGGCCACGCAUUGCCUUCAGGCCCGCAAGACCAGCUUUGUGGGCGAGGAGAGCCACAAACCUUCACUGCCGCCUGAGAUUCUGAAAAGCCUGAUAGAUCACGUUGUGGACAAGUUUUGCGUCGAUAGCAGCCAAGUCAAAACUGCAAUCCGCACAAAGCUGAACAAUGAGGACAAGCUCUUCAAGAAGAGACUGGGGAUAGGCAGAGCUGAAAACAAGCCUGUGUCUGAUCAGACAUUUUCCCAAGAUUCUUCACUUCUAGUGGACAAUGGCGCCGGAAUGAGUAACUCUCAUUUCUAACCGGUGUGUCUUUAUGUCAUCUCGUGUCAUAUAGGAUGACAGGUUGCCCCUACUGAACAAAAAAGGUUGUUUUUGCACACGGUCACCUGCUUCAUUUCAUUCCUUUUAACAUUUGUACAAACGUUGUUUAUUUUUAACUUCUUUUUAUCACACUUGUAGAAAAAUGAAGUCUGUUUUAGAAACACUAAUAAAGUUAAAAGGAUCGCAUUGGAGUGGUUUCCUUGAGGGGUUCCUCAAGUCUCAGUUUUAGGCCUUCUUUUAAUCUCCUUGUACCGCUUUGGCUUUUUUUUAAUAAGAAAAUAUGGUAUCUCCUGUCAUUUUUAUGCAGAUGAUUGUCAGCUGUAUGGGCCUCACAAAUGUCUUAUAGACUUAAAGCCAUGGAUAUUUCUGAAUUGUUCAAGUCUCGGUGACAGCAAAAUAGAAGUGAUCCCUCCCUCGCUGCUAGUCUUGGCUCUUUGAACAAUUAUGUGAUGCCUAAUGCAACAAAUUUGAAAUUCAAGCUGAGACUCGAUGAACAAACUAAUUCAGUUGUAAAGUCUAGGCACUUGGCAAAUGUCAGACUCAUCUUUCUUUUUGCUUUAUAAAUAUAUAUAUAUUUUAAUUAUUACUACUAAUAAACCUGAUGGCCAAUAAUUAUGUGAAAAACACUGGUUAUUUCAGCUGAAAUUCUUACUUAGCUACACUAAGACGUUUAUCAAAAGAUGUUUUUUGGGACCAAUAAUAAUAAUUCAAUCAAGCUCAGAGAAUCUUGUGUCCUGAAAAAUACAGUAAAAUAUUUUUUUAAAUAAUCUAUAAUCCAAGGUUUUGUGGUUUUUGCAAAAUAAAAGCCUAAUCCCCUUGCCAAGGCUCCAUAAAGAGAUCAGACAGAAGAUACUUGAAUGGCUAUCCUGACUACAUAUGACUACAUAGAAUGAAAAAAAAAAAAAAAAAAAAACGCAACUGUAGCAUGGUUGAUAAUCCCAGAAUUUAUUCAGGCAUUGUCUAAAGCAGAGGUCUUCAACCUGCAGCUACAGAGCCACAUCAUCUAUCUAUAACAGGUCUUUGACUUUGGAGGGAAAAAAAAUGUAAAUAAUUUAAAUAAAUAAUGGGGUUAAUUUGCUUUAUUUUAAUUUUUGUGGCCGUUUAUUAUUAGAAUAAAGCACAACUUCUUAUUUUUUUACUGCACAACAAUGUUUAGUAGAAGUUCUUUAAAUGUAUCAUUGAAUUCACAAAUACACUUUUUUAAAUGGAAUUCUUAACCAAUGUUGUUGCUUUUAAAAGUAAGAAAAGGGAUCCAAAGGAAUAAGGGGAUGAAAAUGACAUAUUUGACUUAACUUUAUUUCAAUUUUGAUUCAAGUAAAUCUUAUUUGACACAAAGUAUUUUUUAUUUUGGAAGGAACUUGUGCUUCUGUCAAAAGAAAAGAAAUAUAGCAAAAUAUAACACUGUUAUAAUUCAAAUAAUGUCAAUAUUUGAAAAGUGCAUUCCAAAAACAUAUGCAGUGUAUCUUUCUAAAAGGUGAAGGGGGAGUUUGCUGUUCUUGUUGAGUUUUGUCUUAAAAGAAAUGGUCUCUUUUAGUGUUAAGGUUGCAGACCCCUCAUCUAAAGUACUGGUAAUUUAUUAAAAUGUUAAAACAAAAAUAUUUUCAUACCUGAUUUGUGAUAAAUAAUUUUUAAUUAACAGAUAAGGACAAACAUUUUUCAGAAUUAUUCUUGAUCAGAGCUGUAAAUUCACAUUUGUUUAGUGGAAAAAGCACAAAGGAAGUGAAACUGUAGUUUUCCCAUCCGCCUAUAGGUGUCAGUGUUGAGCCUUUUUUCUCUUCGUGAUGGAGCGCUGAUCUGCUCCUGUAAAGCUGUGAAGUUAAUACUAUGAUCCCAGCUGCCACCGCGCGGUGGGGAGGCAUCGACACUUACACAAUAUAUAGAUUUAUAUUAUAAAUCGUUGGCGUGGUCGUGGUCAAGAAUGUAAAUGGCGGCAGUCAGACGCCAUUAUGAAAUCACGCGACAGCUGGCCGGCCACGGGGCAGGGCAUAGACUGUAUAUAGAACUGGCCUUCCAGAUAGGAACAAGAAGCCAAAAUCCCACAUAUCAUCUCAGGUUUACAUAAUAAUGGGAUGUUACUUAAUUAUUAUCAUUUUUUGUAGUCUACAGGUUGUUGUUCUUCACUGAUGUAAAUGUUCUGAAUAAAGCUUAAAAAAGAAGAAUCCAAAAUCUAUUGAGAACUAAUGAUAGAUCCCCCAUUCUCCCCCCUCCCCUAUUUCGGUGUAAGGGGUGUGGACUUCCAACAAGCUUAGUCAUGAUUGGUGACAGUAGUUACCUUUGACUCAGACCGACUCGGACCAAUCGCUGUCGUCUGGCUCCAAAGAAAAUGGCGACGGAAUGGGCUUCAUUUUUUAAUGACAUAUUUCUAGAUACAAUAAACACAUUUAAGUAUAUAUAAAUCUUUAAAUAUAAACAAAUCACAAUAUAAAAAUGUUUAACCGUAUCUUCUUACAUCGUUAAGCAAGCAUAAAACUAUGAAAACAAUUAAAAGCAAACAUUAAAAAUUAAGAUUUAAGAUUUUUUGUAUGUUUUUAAUUUUCUAUGUGGCUAAAUAUAUAUUUUUUUUAAAUCCGUUUCUUAAAAAUAUUUAGUAAGGGGACUUUAGUCAACCAUUUUUUCUGCUUAUAAUAUUUUAUCAUAAUUACAUUUGUUAUGUUUAUCGGAACAGAAGAUGAGCUAAUUUAACAGGAAAAUUCCCAAUUCCCAACAGAAAACGGACACCUAUGCCGCUUCAGCCAAAAUAAAGCCGUUUCAGUUGCCAUUUUUCUGCAACAUGGAUGCCGCCAUCUUGGAGUCAGUCGACAGUGAUUGGUCAGAGUCAACUUUCUCAAUGGCGACUAUACUGUCACCAAUCUUUAGUAACCUUGUUGAAAUUCCACACCUCUCCCACUGAAACUGUCUCUGGAGAAUCUGUCAAUCAAACAUUAAAGUGGAGAGCACUGACUGUAUAGGUACGAACUGGACAUAGCAAGCGUUGAGGCCCCCCAUUGGAAAUGAACUACAUUUUAUGCACUACCCAACCGAUUUUAACCCUUUGACAGCGAUUAGUCCGAGUCACGUUUUUAGAGGACCUACUGUCGCCAAUCACGAGUUAGCUUGUUGUGGUUAGUUUGAAGUCCACACCCCACGGGCGGGAUAAGCUAUCGUUCAAACGUUUGAGGCGGGGCCAGCGGGAGCUACAUGCUUUCACUGAGGGAUCUGAUAGGUCAAUUUAUAACUUUAAAAAUUGGUGGUAAAGAAAAGAAUAUCUUAAUAAAAAUAAGAAUAUAAAGAACAUGCUAAGAAGAAUGCAUCAGAGCAAGAAUAGUUAUUAAAAUGAAAGAGAAAUAACUACCUAUUUUUCAAUGGAAGUCUAUGGGACUUUGGCCUUCUUGCAACCUAUAGGUACUUUCCAAGUCCAUUUCCUACUUAUACAGUCAAUGGUGGGGAACCAGUGGACACAACAUGCUUUUACUGAAGCAUCUGAUGUUUAUAACUUGCACUAAAAAAUAUAUAUCAUGUAAUAAAACUCUAAUUAUCAAGAACAUUUUAGAAAAAAACUAUCCAAGCGUUUAUUCUGACAAAUACAUAAAUAUUUCUCUGUAGAGGUCUAUGAGUUUUGACUUCUUGGAGCCUUCAUAUUUGGAAGGGGGUGGGGUAUCCAGUCGUCUACAUACAGUCAAUGGAUGUUUGGUCUGUCCAGUUCUAUAUAUAGUUAAUGGGGCGGUGGCAGCUGGCUCGCUGGGUGGCAGCAGCUCUGAUUGGACGGCGUGUAAAUGUCUCCGCACGGCCGCCGGACCGCGGUAGUCCGGGGCUUUUUAUAAGGCGGCACAC
RNAcentral lists this long non-coding RNA (5336 nucleotides) under Oryzias javanicus (javanese ricefish). RNAcentral's name for it is "lncRNA (ENSOJAG00000001735.1)". Lineage: Eukaryota; Metazoa; Chordata; Actinopteri; Beloniformes; Adrianichthyidae. The record is from RNAcentral.